Acanthosepion pharaonis is the source of this 113-nucleotide non-coding RNA. The record is from the annotation of a GenBank genome assembly. Lineage: Eukaryota; Metazoa; Mollusca; Cephalopoda; Sepiida; Sepiidae.
UACGGCUUUAUCAAAUUGAAGCACUUAUUCUCGUACGAUUACCGAAGUUAAGCAACGUUGAGCCUGCUCACUACAUCGAUGGGUGACCGCUUGGGAAUAUCAAGGGCUGUAAG